GACGAACGCUGGCGGCGUGCCUAACACAUGCAAGUCGAGCGAGAAUUUAGUAAUUGAUCCCUUCGGGGUGAUUUUGCUAAAGGAAAGCGGCGGACGGGUGAGUAACGCGUGAGUAACCUGCCCUUUGGAGUGGGAUAACACAGAGAAAUCUGUGCUAAUACCGCAUAAUAUAUGUUUACCGCAUGGUAGACAUAUCAAAGAUUUAUCGCCAAAGGAUGGACUCGCGUCUGAUUAGAUAGUUGGUGAGGUAACGGCUCACCAAGUCGACGAUCAGUAGCCGAACUGAGAGGUUGAUCGGCCACAUUGGGACUGAGACACGGCCCAGACUCCUACGGGAGGCAGCAGUGGGGAAUAUUGCGCAAUGGGGGAAACCCUGACGCAGCAACGCCGCGUGAAGGAAGAAGGUCUUCGGAUUGUAAACUUCUAUCAGCAGGGAAGAUAAUGACGGUACCUGACUAAGAAGCCCCGGCUAACUACGUGCCAGCAGCCGACGG
This 494-nucleotide ribosomal RNA is filed under the name uncultured bacterium. Its description in RNAcentral is "bacterial SSU rRNA". It matches the Rfam family "Bacterial small subunit ribosomal RNA", at positions 28 to 520 of the family's 1533-position model. The record is from RNAcentral.